RNAcentral lists this ribosomal RNA (253 nucleotides) under uncultured bacterium. RNAcentral's name for it is "partial 16S ribosomal RNA". It matches the Rfam family "Bacterial small subunit ribosomal RNA", at positions 524 to 776 of the family's 1533-position model. The record is from RNAcentral.
UACAGAGGUCUCAAGCGUUGUUCGGAUUCAUUGGGCGUAAAGGGUGCGUAGGUGGCGCUGUAAGUCGGGUGUGAAAUUUCGAGGCUUAACCUCGAAACUGCAUUCGAUACUGCGGUGCUUGAGGACUGGAGAGGAGACUGGAAUUCAUGGUGUAGCAGUGAAAUGCGUAGAGAUCAUGAGGAAGACCAGUGGCGAAGGCGGGUCUCUGGACAGUUCCUGACACUGAGGCACGAAGGCCAGGGGAGCAAACAGG